UACGUAGGUGGCAAGCGUUGUCCGGAUUUAUUGGGUUUAAAGGGUGCGUAGGCGGCUUUGUAAGUCAGUGGUGAAAUAUGGCAGCUCAACUGUCAGGGUGCCAUUGAUACUGCGGAGCUUGAGUACAGAUGAGGUAGGCGGAAUUGACGGUGUAGCGGUGAAAUGCGUAGAUAUCGGGAGGAACAUCAGUGGCGAAGGCGGCCUUCUGGUCCAGUACUGACACUCAAGUGCGAAAGCGUGGGGAGCAAACAGG
This 253-nucleotide ribosomal RNA is filed under the name uncultured bacterium. RNAcentral's name for it is "partial 16S ribosomal RNA". It matches the Rfam family "Bacterial small subunit ribosomal RNA", at positions 524 to 776 of the family's 1533-position model. The record is from RNAcentral.